This 489-nucleotide ribosomal RNA is filed under the name uncultured Hymenobacter sp. RNAcentral's name for it is "bacterial SSU rRNA". It matches the Rfam family "Bacterial small subunit ribosomal RNA", at positions 91 to 578 of the family's 1533-position model. Lineage: Bacteria; Pseudomonadati; Bacteroidota; Cytophagia; Cytophagales; Hymenobacteraceae. The record is from RNAcentral.
GAUAGUGGCGCACGGGUGCGUAACGCGUAACCAACCUACCCGAAUCUGGGGGAUAGCCCGCCGAAAGGCGGAUUAAUACCGCAUAAAACCACAGGGUGGCAUCACCUAAUGGUUAAAGAUUUAUUGGAUUCGGAUGGGGUUGCGUGCCAUUAGCUAGUUGGCGGGGUAACGGCCCACCAAGGCGACGAUGGCUAGGGGAGCUGAGAGGCUGGUCCCCCACACGGGCACUGAGAUACGGGCCCGACUCCUACGGGAGGCAGCAGUAGGGAAUAUUGGGCAAUGGGCGAGAGCCUGACCCAGCCAUGCCGCGUGCAGGAUGAAGGCUUUCUGAGUCGUAAACUGCUUUUACCAGGGAAGAAAAAAGGGGAUGCGUCCUCUACUGACGGUACCUGGUGAAUAAGCACCGGCUAACUCCGUGCCAGCAGCCGCGGUAAUACGGAGGGUGCAAGCGUUGUCCGGAUUUAUUGGGUUUAAAGGGUGCGUAGGCGG